This is a non-coding RNA of Cinara cedri, 297 nucleotides long. NCBI's taxonomy places the organism in Eukaryota, Metazoa, Arthropoda, Insecta, Hemiptera, Aphididae. The record is from the annotation of a GenBank genome assembly.
CGCCCUUUCGGUUGGUCAUCGUGCAGCCAACUAUGCAAUUUAAUGAUUGUUUGAAAAAAAUAAAAACCCGUUUCUGAACGAAAUUCAAGAACUUGUGUAUACAAUAUUAGAUUGCCAGAGGAACGAGAUGGUUUUCCUGGAUGUUUUCUUUUUUUCUUUCUUUUUAUAUCUGUAAACAAAUUUCCACCAAUGAUCUUACUCCAAUCGUCAACUUCAAGCGUAUUUACUGAUACCAAAUUAGGUUAAUGCAUCGCAAAAGUCUUUUUUUGAUUUUCUUUGUAGUUUCCAUAAUACAUG